This 247-nucleotide ribosomal RNA is filed under the name Neogloboquadrina pachyderma. RNAcentral's name for it is "partial small subunit ribosomal RNA". The record is from RNAcentral. Lineage: Eukaryota; Foraminifera; Rotaliida; Globorotaliidae.
UUAACGGUAAGUUUACUUACCGCUUAACAUCGAGUGUUAAAUAUGCUAGUCCUUUCAUGAUUAUGUGAUAGGUGGUGCAUGGCCGUUCUUAGUUCGUGGAGUGAUCUGUCUGCUUAAUUGCGUUUCACUAAGGGCCCAUAAAUUCAAGGUAUGUUAGCUCUCGUCGCUCUAUGGACCCCUUAACUCCAAUAUUCUUAUUGUGUUAAGCGCGUGUCUUUAUUUUAAGAGUUUUAAGACACUGCGCAUG